Molecule: long non-coding RNA, 1179 nt
Organism: Notolabrus celidotus (New Zealand spotty)
Lineage: Eukaryota; Metazoa; Chordata; Actinopteri; Labriformes; Labridae
Exons: 5
Source: RefSeq, a predicted model, not a curated record
GUUUACACUACGCAGACCGGCUGAGUUUAGCAGAGAGAAGCAGAGAGACGUGAGCAGAGUGAGAGAGAAGCAACAAGUGACCGCUGGUCUUUUACUUGAAGAAAUCAAUUUAUUUGAAUUAUUUUGAAGUUAUGCUGGAAACUGGAGCUGGACUGGUAAACAGAAAGUACAGAAGAGCAAAAGAAAGCAAACAGGAGAGUGACAGAGCCCAGUCGGAAGCACUUCAGGAUAGCUUCUCAGAGAUGGAGAGAAGUAAAGGAGUUAAAAUGACUGAAAACAGAUGCUGGGUGGAUCCUCUUCCUCGAAACAGAUAAUGUGGCAUCGUGUCCUCCUCCAUGUCAGAGACCAGCACCGCUGCUCUUUUGGAAGCUGUGACCACGGGCCACUUGAUGAGAGCAGCAGAGAUAAGCCAUGGAUGGUGUGAGGCUCUCCAUCACAUCAGGCUUGUGCAUCCAUCAUCCCUGAUAAACGCUGACUGAAGGAUGUGGAGAAGUUUACCAACUUUCACACAGCACAACACCUGACCUGGAAUCCUUUCAGAACCACAUCCUCUUGUAUGCUGCAAAAUGCUUUUCAUUCAGCUCACCAGUGUAUGAGGCGCACACUCCUCUGGCACCGCACCCACAGGCCUGCAGCCCUGACUCUGAUGGUAACAAUAAAGGAAUACUUAGAAGACGAUUGCAAUCUGGGAAGAGACUUCCCAAAACAAGAACACUAAGACCUGAUGAUCAAAGAAGACUUGGACAUCUUCCUGGGAUUCCUCCACCACCUACAACAGAACUAGCACAAGCAUGCAUCCAACGCAGAGAAGAUUGUGCACAUGUAGGCAUAUUUUUCUUGCAUCACUUACAUGACAAACAAGAUUAAAUAUUAUAUAUCUGAUAUCUGCAGCAUAGUCUGAAUAUUGAUAAAGCAGCUUGGCUGAUCAUAAAAGAAUCGCUGUUGUUCAUCACACACAGCACAGUUUUACUUUUAGAGUAAAAUGUGACACGUAGUCACUCUAAGCUUCCUUUUGUUCCUCUGCUAACCAUCACUAUAUCUUCUCUUUCACUCUUACAGAACCUGCCUGUAUGAAAAGUGUAAAGUUGUAUCAUCAUACACCGUGUAACAGAUAUGUAAAUAAUGUGAAGAACUGUAAAUAUUGUAUAUUGAAAAUAAAACACAAGACUGUUUAAAGAA